UACGUAGGAUGCAAGCGUUGUCCGGAAUUACUGGGCGUAAAGGGCGCGUAGGCGGUAUACCAAGUCCGAUGUGAAAUCCCCCGGCUUAACCUGGGAACUGCGUCUGAUACUGGGAGGCUUGAGUAUGGGAGAGGGAUGUAGAAUUCCAGGUGUAGCGGUGAAAUGCGUAGAUAUCUGGAGGAAUACCGGUGGCGAAGGCGGCAUCCUGGACCAUAACUGACGCUGAGGCGCGAAAGCUAGGGGAGCAAACGGG
This 253-nucleotide ribosomal RNA is filed under the name uncultured bacterium. RNAcentral's name for it is "partial 16S ribosomal RNA". It matches the Rfam family "Bacterial small subunit ribosomal RNA", at positions 524 to 776 of the family's 1533-position model. The record is from RNAcentral.